ACAAACCAUCUUCCAAGAUCACUUUUCAAAGACCUUUCUCUUAUUUGGGAUGUGUCAAAGUUCCCUAAGAACCUCAAAGGGGCUCCCGCCAGUGCUUACAUCCCGAAUACAUUGCAGAAUGAGAUUAUAGUGUGGUGUGGAAGGGCCAGCCCUCAAAUGUUCAAGUUCAAAAGGAACUCGAGGUCCCAAAGCAAAACUCAUAGGAGAGGGCAGAACUUAGGGUCUAAGAGUAAGUGUAUGUGCAUAGAGGGGAAUAAGGGAAGGGCAGGGUAGGCUAGUGGUCAUGCCUAGCAAUCAGGAAUGCUGGCACACCCCUGACCAGCCUUUUAGCCGAAUCUUAGGAGUUAGGAUCCAUUGAAGAUUAAGUUCAGAACUGAGCAGUAAUUUGGAUACUACUAUGCCAAAACCUUAAAUCAGACACAUAGAGGGGAAUGGGGGGGUAGGGAUUCACAAUAGAAAUAGAUGCAAGAAAAGAAUAUACAUAGUUUAAUCACUGAACAUGAACAACAAAGUAAACAAGAAUGCUAAAACUAUAAAGUAAACACAUAUGGGUGAGGCAGAAAAAUUAAAUCAGACAUACUAGUUUCAGGGAAAACAAGUAAAAUAGUAGUCUUGAAAAGCCAAUUUGUAAGCAAACAAUUCCAAAAUAUCUCAGAAAAGCAGAGUGUUGAGAGAGUAUUGAACUCAAAGCAGUAUUAUAGGUGUGUAAGUUGAAAGUAAAAAGUUUGAGGUAUUCCACUCAAAGUCCUAAAACUGAAGAAGGGUAGUUCCUUUUAUAGUGCAGAGAAGCAAGUAAGAAAGGUAAGAAAGUAGUUUGCAAUCAAUCACAUAGAAUUUUCCUGUAGUUAAGGGAUUUGAUUUCAAACGGGUAGAAGAUAUCUAAGGAAGGAACAUGAUUAAUACUUUCCCUAAAGUAAUACAAGAUAGGAUAAAUACACAGGAGUUAUUUAAGGCAAAAAUUCAAUGGUACACGAUUUGUGAAAAAUAAGGAAAGGAAAUCAAUCAAGCAACCAAGGAAAUCAAACUUACAGGCUUUUACUCGAAUGAACCAAGUUAGGGGUAAAGAAAGGUUUAUUUUAAAGGUAAUCAAUAACAAUCAAUUAGCCCCAUCAAAGGACUUUAGAAUCAAUCAAUUAGCCCCAUUAGAGGACUUCAGAAUCAAUCAAUUAGUUGGUAAAACAUUUGUUAAAGAAGAGUUCUUAUUUAUAUAAAGCACACAAAUAUGUGAAUCAAGAAAGGACUGUCAAGUUAUUUAGAAG
This 1259-nucleotide long non-coding RNA is filed under the name Nicotiana benthamiana. RNAcentral describes it as "long non-coding RNA (NBEN_LNC040340)". The record is from RNAcentral. Lineage: Eukaryota; Viridiplantae; Streptophyta; Magnoliopsida; Solanales; Solanaceae.